RNAcentral lists this long non-coding RNA (286 nucleotides) under Prunus persica (peach). RNAcentral describes it as "long non-coding RNA (PPER_LNC002123)". Lineage: Eukaryota; Viridiplantae; Streptophyta; Magnoliopsida; Rosales; Rosaceae. The record is from RNAcentral.
UGGAGGUGGAGUAGAUCUAAUACGGCUUUUUGGUUUCUUCUUUUUCUUCUGGUGUUGUAGGUUGUCGGGUUAAUUUUUCAACCACUUUUUGGAUGGUAUUGUUUGAUGUAGAUUGCCGAUGGGAUCAGAAAACUUCUACAGUUUACUUCUUUUUUUCUUUUUUUCGGUAAAGAUCAUGAGGUGACCCGAAGGGUGGGAUUAAUUCCUGCUCAGGGAUCGGCUUGCCCCUGGCCACAAAGUGCUUCCAACAAGUUUCGAGCCAUUGAGGCACUAGGUAGCUCAUCAG